AGUGAACGCUGGCGGUAGGCCUAACACAUGCAAGUCGAACGGCGGCACAGUAAGCGCUUGCUCCGACGGGUGGCGAGUGGCGGACGGGUGAGGAAUACAGCGGAAUCUACUUUUUCGUGGGGGAUAACGUAGGGAAACUUACGCUAAUACCGCAUACGACCUACGGGUCAAAUCAGGGGAUCUUCGAACAUUUCGCGAAUGAAUGAGCCGAUGUCGGAUUAGCUAGUUGGCGGGGCAAAGGCCCACCAAGGCGACGAUCCGUAGCUGGUCUGAGAGGAUGAUCAGGCACACUGGAAGUGAGACUCGGUCCACACUCCUGCGGGAGGAAGCAGUGGGGAAUACUGGGCGAUGGGGGCAAGCCUGAUCCAGCCAUACCGCGUGGGUGAAGAAGGCCUGCGGGUUGUAAAGCCAUUUUGUUUGGAGAGAAAAGCAGCAGGGUAAUACCCCGCUGUUCUGACGGUACCCAAAGAAUAAGCCCCGGCUAACUUCGUG
This 492-nucleotide ribosomal RNA is filed under the name uncultured bacterium. RNAcentral describes it as "partial 16S ribosomal RNA". It matches the Rfam family "Bacterial small subunit ribosomal RNA", at positions 29 to 507 of the family's 1533-position model. The record is from RNAcentral.